RNAcentral lists this ribosomal RNA (409 nucleotides) under uncultured bacterium. RNAcentral's name for it is "bacterial SSU rRNA". It matches the Rfam family "Bacterial small subunit ribosomal RNA", at positions 95 to 518 of the family's 1533-position model. The record is from RNAcentral.
GUGGCGGACGGGUGAGUAACGCGUGGGUAACCUGCCUUUCGACUGGGGGAUAACAGUUAGAAAUGACUGCUAAUACCGCAUAAGCGCACAGGAUCGCAUGAUCUAGUGUGAAAAACUCCGGUGGUGAAAGAUGGACCCGCGUCUGGAUUAGCCAAGUUGGCAGGGUAACGGCCUACCAAAGCGACGAUCAGUAGCCGGCCUGAGAGGGUGAACGGCCACAUUGGGACUGAGACACGGCCCAAACUCCUACGGGAGGCGGCAGUGGGGAAUAUUGCACAAUGGGGGAAACCCUGAUGCAAGCGACGCCGCGUGAGUGAAGAAGUAUUUCGGUAUGUAAAGCUCUAUCAGCAGGGAAGAAAAUGACGGUACCUGACUAAGAAGCCCCGGCUAACUACGUGCCAGCCGCAGC